Molecule: long non-coding RNA, 902 nt
Organism: Oxyura jamaicensis (ruddy duck)
Lineage: Eukaryota; Metazoa; Chordata; Aves; Anseriformes; Anatidae
Exons: 4
Source: RefSeq, a predicted model, not a curated record
AUGAACCCUGGCAUAGGACAAUAUUUUACCUAAAUCACCAGUAUUCCUGACAGUGAAAAAGAGAAAGUCCUUGAGUACUUUGUCUUACCAUCUGGGCUAUAUUCUUCAGAUGCAGUCAGAACUGGAAGAACAUUGAUUAUAAGCUGAAUUAACUCCCUAAAACUGCUCUUCAGAAAGUAUGCUCAGGUCCAUUUCUGAGCUGAUAUAAAGAUGAUGUACUCCUUUUGAUGAAAGAGUGAGGCCAUGGGUCUGUACCACCUGCAAGAGUGGCAGUGUUCCUCUCUGGGAGAAAGAAACUCUCCCCACUCAGGAUGUGUAAAUCCAGGAGGCUAAUGCCUCUCUGAGUGCUGUUACUUCCAGUAGGGCUGCCUUGCUCUGUUAGUGGAUGCAACACUUAAUAAUUGCUUACAUCUGAGGCUUCUCCAACAGAGGUUCCUUCUUGACAAGGCUUGCUGAAGAGCAUUGCAAACGGUUACGAGGUGAGACAGUGAAGCCUGUUUUCCAAAACAAUCAGUUUGAGCCACAAAAGCUGAUAUGUUUCAUUUAAUCUUUGAGAUCUGGCCCAGGUUUUGCACAUUUUAGCACAAUCUUUGCCAGUCUCAGGCUGGAGAAGAUGGUGAUUUUCUCGAGGCCAGGGUUGUUUAUCAUUCAGCAAAACUAUCAGAAAUAUUUCAAUUUUCCUGCUCUUUGCACAAGACAUAGUAAAUUUUCAGUAUCAAGUUCCACUCAACCCUAAAUCUCAUGGAAUAUUCUAAACACCUGAUAGUGUUACUGAGUGUUGUACAGAUGGCAACACGAGGAACAUCCAGUACAUGGGAAAGUGAAGGCUACCUUUUGCUAGUGCAGAAGAAUUUAAUUUCCAUUUUCCCCAUUUUUGCUGUACUGCAUGUAGAGCUUUAAUU